UACGUAGGGCGCAAGCGUUGUCCGGAAUUAUUGGGCGUAAAGAGCGUGUAGGCGGCCAAGCAGGUCCGCUGUGAAAACUCGAGGCUCAACCUCGAGAGGUCGGUGGAAACCGUUUGGCUAGAGUCCGGAAGAGGAGAGUGGAAUUCCCGGUGUAGCGGUGAAAUGCGCAGAUAUCGGGAAGAACACCCGUGGCGAAGGCGGCUCUCUGGGACGGUACUGACGCUGAGACGCGAAAGCGUGGGGAGCGAACAGG
This 253-nucleotide ribosomal RNA is filed under the name uncultured bacterium. RNAcentral describes it as "partial 16S ribosomal RNA". It matches the Rfam family "Bacterial small subunit ribosomal RNA", at positions 524 to 776 of the family's 1533-position model. The record is from RNAcentral.